CCUACGGGAGGCAGCAGUGAGGAAUAUUGGUCAAUGGGCGUAAGCCUGAACCAGCCAAGUCGCGUGAGGGAUGAAGGUUCUAUGGAUCGUAAACCUCUUUUAUAAGGGAAUAAAGUGUGGGACGUGUCCUAUUUUGUAUGUACCUUAUGAAUAAGGAUCGGCUAACUCCGGGCCAGCAGCCGCGGUAAUACGGAGGCUCCGAGCGUUAUCCGGAUUUAUUGGGUUUAAAGGGUGCGUAGGCGGCCUUUUAAGUCAGCGGUGAAAGUCUGUGGCUCAACCAGAGAAUUGCCGUUGAAACUGGGGGGCAUGAGUAUGUUGGAGGCAGGCGGAAUGCGUGGUGUAGCGGUGAAAUGCGUAGAUAUCACGCAGAACCCCGAUUGCGAAGGCAGCCUGCCAGGCCAUGACUGACGCUGAUGCACGAAAGCGUGGGGAUCAAACAGGAUUAGAUACCCUUGUAGUC
RNAcentral lists this ribosomal RNA (460 nucleotides) under uncultured bacterium. RNAcentral's name for it is "partial 16S ribosomal RNA". It matches the Rfam family "Bacterial small subunit ribosomal RNA", at positions 338 to 795 of the family's 1533-position model. The record is from RNAcentral.